RNAcentral lists this ribosomal RNA (448 nucleotides) under uncultured bacterium. Its description in RNAcentral is "partial 16S ribosomal RNA". It matches the Rfam family "Bacterial small subunit ribosomal RNA", at positions 330 to 792 of the family's 1533-position model. The record is from RNAcentral.
UCCAGACUCCUACGGGAGGCAGCAGUGGGGAAUAUUGGGCAAUGGGCGCAAGCCUGACCCAGCAACGCCGCGUGAAGGAAGAGGGCUUUCGGGUUGUAAACUUCUUUUAAGAGGGACGAAACAAAUGACGGUACCUCUUGAAUAAGCCACAGCUAACUACGUGCCAGCAGCCGCGGUAAUACGUAGGUGGCAAGCGUUAUCCGGAUUUAUUGGGUGUAAAGGGCGUGUAGGCGGGAAAGCAAGUCAGAUGUGAAAACUAUGGGCUCAACCCAUAGCCUGCAUUUGAAACUGUUUUUCUUGAGUGCUGGAGAGGCAAUCGGAAUUCCGUGUGUAGCGGUGAAAUGCGUAGAUAUACGGAGGAACACCAGCGGCGAAGGCGGAUUGCUGGACAGUAACUGACGCUGAGGCGCGAAAGCGUGGGGAGCAAACAGGAUUAGAUACCCUAGUA